RNA transcript from Falco peregrinus (peregrine falcon), 2775 nucleotides. It is a transcript of the gene named cornichon family AMPA receptor auxiliary protein 4, with no coding region annotated. Lineage: Eukaryota; Metazoa; Chordata; Aves; Falconiformes; Falconidae. The record is from RefSeq and is a predicted model, not a curated record. The transcript is spliced from 6 exons.
UGCUGCGCGGCGGGGCGGCCGGGGGGCAGGGCGUACGGCGGCCGGCAGGGCGGCGGCCGCGGCGGGAUGGAGUCGGUGGUCUUCAUCUUCUCGCUGAUCGACUGCUGCGCCCUCAUCUUCCUCUCCGUCUACUUUAUAAUUACACUAUCAGAUUUGGAAUGUGACUACAUUAAUGCUAGAUCAUGCUGCUCAAAGCUCAAUAAAUGGGUGGUCCCUGAGGUGAUUGGCCAUGCUGUCGUAACUGUAUUAAUGCUUAUUUCAUUGCACUGGUUCAUCUUUCUCCUUAAUUUGCCAGUAGCAACAUGGAAUAUAUAUAGGUACAUUAUGGUUCCAAGUGGAAACAUGGGGGUAUUUGAUCCCACAGAGAUCCAUAACCGAGGACAACUGAAAUCACACAUGAAGGAAGCCAUGAUUAAACUAGGCUUUCAUCUGCUGUGUUUCUUCAUGUACCUUUACAGGGUUGGAGUUGGUCACAGAGCAGAAGACUAUCUGCAGUCAUGACUGUGAACCUGCGCUUUCUACAUGCAAUGAGAUGAAUCAAGAGUAUGUCCGGCUUGGGGAGGCGGUCUGGUAAACCAUAACCCCAGUUAUCCCACCUUUGGUGUGACUCCGCUUCAAAGACAGCAGCAAACUAAGUUCUUUUUGUGCAGUUCUUGCAUCAGUGAGAAGGAUAUAAACCUGAGUUUGUGCCCUCACCGUCCAAUAACUGUCUUUAAAUUUUUAUGUGUGCAUGGAAACAGGUUUUUUGAAACAAACACAUCAAGUGAAACACUUCAAAAAGUAUAGUUCUUGUUGGCAUAGCUUUAUUCCAAUGCUUUUUCUCACAAGAAGCUCUCUGGGAUUUUGUACCAGUGCUGAGAGCAGACCAUUUUUGCCUCUGAGGAUGUGGUAAGGAUGAGAUUGGAGGGAGCAAUGGGAAAGUUUGGGCUAUAAGGACCACCAUGCAGUUAUCAGCACACUGACCACCUCUUUGGCAGAAAGAGAGGCAUACAAACUUCAGCAGUUCCUCUUCGGAGCAUUAUAGGUCUUUUGAAGCAAGGGGACAGCUGGGACUGCCGUCUCUGCGCCGAGGUGACAGCCUAAGCGUGCGCAGCAUGCAGAGGGCUGCGUCAGGCAGCGCAGGCUAAGAUGUGAGAGGGUGAAACAGAAACUGCCCUCUGGAGAAGGACCCUACCUCAGCAAAUUAUGAAAUGCUCAUCUACUACCAGGUUCCCUAUGUAUUUUUUUUUAAAUAAUCUGAAGGGUCUAAAAAAACCAGAAAUAAUUUUGAGUCUCAUAUAUGCUGAAAUUUCACAGUUGAUAGAAACGAUACACCUAUUUCUCUCGCAUUCUUGCCACCGGCUGAAGGCAGACAUAGGACAGCAGAUGAAGCACAGUAACAAACCCAGCCAAAAAACCUAAGCCUUCGUCACCGGGUGGACCCGCACAUCCCACCUGCAGGGGGGCUGCAGCCCAACAGCCCUCCAGGGCAGCGGCACGCAGCAGCAGAGGAACACGGCACGCCCCUUGUUUAGAGCUGCAUUCAACCCAUAAUUAUACACUGCUUAGACUGUAAGGGAGGGAAUAAAGUAAUAUAAAGGUCAUAACAAGGCAGUAAAGGCUUUUUCUAAUCAAUAUAGAAGCUCAAAGAAUUAAAAAAUUGAAUGCACCUCAGCAAAAGGUUUGAGUUAGGAAAAGACACGGGAAGGCAGGGUGAAUUUAGACGCUGCUUUUGAUUUAAUAGAACAUCAGCUAGAGCUGACUAAAAGUGCCUAAAAUGCAGGACAAAGCCAAGGUGGUGUUUUAAGGCACAGGGAAGGAGGACAGGAAUGCAGAGUUAGUUGGAAGGAGCAAAGGCCACCGUUGAGAAGCAGCUUCAGGAGCUCUCAGCCACAAAAGCUGCUUUGGUCGACUUCACAGAGCAGCCUGGAGGUCCCCAAUCUCCAGCUUUGGAGAAGUCUAAGCGGGAGACCCAAGUACUUUGGGAGCACCUUCUUAAUACGAAGUAUCAAAAACCCCCAGAAACCCCACCAAUAACCCAAAGCAAUACCUGUACCUGGUAUUUAAGCAAGCUCCAGCAUUAAGGAAUCAAGGCUUUCGUGGAGCCUCAAGGGAGCCGACGUUCAACAAGGCAGGUUACACACCACAGUGGGACACAGGCAAGUUGCCUGCUAAGCAUCCAGUGACAAAAGCGUGAGGUCAAUUAGAGCCCAACGUCAAAACCUGGAAAGCCUGCACACAACACGGAGCGAAUUCAUCUUCGGCUAAACUGCCACAGAUUAAUUCUCCUAGCGAGGAAGUGAAAUUCUACAAAUACAGAAGAGAUCUAUCAUUAACGAUCGAGACAUUAACAUCUGAGGCAGUCAUAUCAGUGAAGGUAGGGAAACUAAGAACUAUUCAUUCCAGUUAUUUAUUCUGUUUAUUGAAUCGAAAGAAAGGGAAUACAAACAUUUCUGUUAAGUGCUGUGCACCAACAUGGAAAAAGUGUAUUUUUUUUUUAAAAAUCCUAAUAAAAACAAAUCAGAAGUUAAUGUAGUUCCAAUUGAACAAUUUUUAAAGAUAUGUUUAAAAUACUACACAUUUAUAAAAUAAAAAAGUUAAAACGGUGUUCUGUAAAUAAUUAGUAAAACAAGUGAAAAUAAAUACCGAGACCCAAAGUUCUUAUGUUUUUAAUGUAAUAUAGCAAAGAAAUUUUUAACUACUUAAUAUAAUCCGAGGAGAGUAACAAAAAUCCAGAAAGUUUAAGAACGCAAUCCUUUGAAACAUUUAAUAUCAGUCCAUAGCAAAUAGUCAUUA